Molecule: long non-coding RNA, 453 nt
Filed under: Nicotiana benthamiana
Lineage: Eukaryota; Viridiplantae; Streptophyta; Magnoliopsida; Solanales; Solanaceae
Description: long non-coding RNA (NBEN_LNC022196)
Source: RNAcentral
AACUAAGGUAUGACUUGCUUUUUGUGUUGAUGUGGUGAAUGAUAAUGCUUAGAUGGUGUUUAACGAGUCAUUUUUCUUUUGGCUUAGAUCAAAUUUCCUUGGAACCAAGUUCACUGUGUAUGAUGCUAUUCUACCUUAUGCUGGAGCCAAAAUGGUGAAAAGCCGUUCUGCUAGGCUUGUGGGCUCAAAACAAAUGAAUCCUAGAGCUCCCGCUGGAAACUAUGAAGUUGCUCAUAUUUCGUACGAGUUGAAAAAUUCUACCUUAUGCUGGAGCCAAAAUGGUGAAGAGCCGUUCCACUAGGCUUAUGGGCUCAAAACAAAUGAAUCCUAGAGCGCCCGCUGGUAACUAUGAAGUUGCUCAUAUUUCGUACGAGUUGAAUGUACUUGGAGCCAGGUAAGGCUUGCUUUUCUUGCAAAAGGUUAGAAGAGACUUCUAAUAACUGCUCUUUUUCG